UGGCAGUGUUUGCCGAUCGCUCGACCGC
RNAcentral lists this small RNA (28 nucleotides) under Bombyx mori (domestic silkworm). RNAcentral's name for it is "ovarian small RNA-8751". Lineage: Eukaryota; Metazoa; Arthropoda; Insecta; Lepidoptera; Bombycidae. The record is from RNAcentral.